UGGGGAAUAUUGGACAAUGGGCGCAAGCCUGAUCCAGCCAUGCCGCGUGUGUGAAGAAGGCCUUUUGGUUGUAAAGCACUUUAAGCGAGGAGGAGGCUACUUGGAUUAAUACUCUAGGAUAGUGGACGCUACUCGCAGAAUAAGCACCGGCUAACUCUGUGCCAGCAGCCGCUGUAAUACAGAGGGUGCGAGCGUUAAUCGGAUUUACUGGGCGUAAAGCGUGCGUAGGCGGCUUCUUAAGUCGGAUGUGAAAUCCCUGAGCUUAACUUAGGAAUUGCAUUCGAUACUGGGAAGAUGGAGUAUGGGGGAGGAUGGUAGAAUUCCAGGUGUAGCGGUGAAGUGCGUAGAGAUCUGGAGGAAUACCGAUGGCGAAGGCAGCCAUCUGGCCUAAUACUGACGCUGAGGUACGAAAGCAUGGGGAGCAAACAGG
This 430-nucleotide ribosomal RNA is filed under the name Bacillota bacterium. RNAcentral describes it as "Firmicutes bacterium partial 16S ribosomal RNA". It matches the Rfam family "Bacterial small subunit ribosomal RNA", at positions 355 to 776 of the family's 1533-position model. The record is from RNAcentral. Lineage: Bacteria; Bacillati; Bacillota.